AAGAUGUUGUCUGCCGCGGCUGGGUCUUGAACCCGCGACCUUCGAAUUACUAGAUCGAUAUAUUACUGGAUCGACGCUCUACCAACUGAGCUACACGGUCAGACGGCUUUAAGACUGGAAAUUAUGAAAUAUAUAUAAUAUCGAUCUAGUAAUUCGAAGGUCGCGGGUUCAAGACCCAGGCGCGGCAGACAACAUCUU
This is a non-coding RNA of Paramuricea clavata, 198 nucleotides long. The record is from the annotation of a GenBank genome assembly. NCBI's taxonomy places the organism in Eukaryota, Metazoa, Cnidaria, Anthozoa, Malacalcyonacea, Plexauridae.